UUUGUGAUAAAUUUAUUAUAUUUUGUGGGUUGUUGAUUAGUGAUUUCUUUAUUAUCUCAAAUUAAGAACAAUAAUAUUUGUUUGAUUUAUUUAUUUCCUCCGAUGUGUUGGUAAAGUAAAUUUAGCCUAUUUCAUUUAUGGGUCUGUCCUUGAUCACUGGUUCAAUAAUUCAUGAAAAUCCCAAUUGAAAACAAACCUAAAUAUCUUUUCAUAUAAAUCCGGAAAUACUAAUCCCCUCAUCAACCUGAAAGCCUUAAUUCCUAAUAUUAUAAAAGAAAAUAAGUUUGAAGAAAAGUUGAACUGCUCCGGCUGCAAAGUUAGUGACUUUUUUUUUUUUUUGGUGUGAGGACAUUUUUUAUUGAGAGAAGCAAUAAUAUACUAAAUUCACACACACAACCAACUAGUGGGUCCUUUGCAAGUGACUUUUUUUUUUUUUUGGUUCAUAAGGAGGCAUGUGGAUAAAUGAUGUCACAAUAAAGGUGCUAAUUAUGAGUGAAUUUUUAAUUUGGAGAGUUCGAUACGCUAUAAAUUUGUUCAUGGGAGUAAUUAUCACAUUGAAAACACGGCAUGCAUCACAUGAUGUUGGUUUGAAAUAUAUGUACUAGUGGAAAGAAUGUAAAACUCAGUUUGAGACAAAUUGUGGUGGGUACAUCCCUAAUUAUUUAGAUUAUCGUGCGAUUAUUGUUGUUCUAACACACUAGUUGAAGAAAAAGAUCAAAAUCCUCAUAAUUGGCAAAUAUUCUUUUAUGGUGCAUAAACCAUGGUAACAGUUGGGUUUAACUGUUUAUGACAUGUUUAUUUUAGGGUGUUGAUUUUUUUACUUUCCUUUUGUCCACUUACACUCCUUUUUGUUUUUUUUAAAAUACUUUUUAUUCUAACAAAAAAGAGAGUGUAAGUCGACAAAAAAGGAGUGAGAGGGCAUACAAUUUCCAACAAAGAGAAUGUAAGUGGACACAAGCGAAGUGGAAAAAUCAGCUCCCUUAUUUUAAUGUAAGAUUAACGUUUUUCUAACAAGCAUAAUAUUUUGGUCGAGAUUAGCUUGUUUCUUUUAUGAACAGAGUUCGAGCGAGCCCAAAACGAGCAGAAAACGAGUUGAAUUUGAAGUGAGUAGAGCCCAUUUACAGUCCUAUAACCUAAUUUGAUUAAUAUGCAGAAGAGAAUUCAAUUUUGUUGAGUUUCUUUCUUAC
This 1187-nucleotide long non-coding RNA is filed under the name Prunus persica (peach). RNAcentral's name for it is "long non-coding RNA (PPER_LNC001599)". The record is from RNAcentral. Lineage: Eukaryota; Viridiplantae; Streptophyta; Magnoliopsida; Rosales; Rosaceae.